GUGCCAGCAGCCGCGGUAACACGUAGGGGGCGAGCGUUGUCCGGAUUCAUUGGGCGUAAAGGGCGCGCAGGCGGCCCGGAAAGUCGGAUGUGAAAACUCGGGGCUCAACCCCGAGCGUGCACCCGAUACUGCCGGGCUUGAGGCAGGUAGGGGAGAUCGGAAUUCCUGGUGUAGCGGUGAAAUGCGCAGAUAUCAGGAGGAACACCGGUGGCGAAGGCGGAUCUCUGGGCCUGUCCUGACGCUGAGGCGCGAAAGCUAGGGGAGCGAACAGGAUUAGAAACCCCCGUAGUCC
RNAcentral lists this ribosomal RNA (292 nucleotides) under uncultured bacterium. Its description in RNAcentral is "partial 16S ribosomal RNA". It matches the Rfam family "Bacterial small subunit ribosomal RNA", at positions 505 to 796 of the family's 1533-position model. The record is from RNAcentral.